RNAcentral lists this ribosomal RNA (383 nucleotides) under uncultured bacterium. RNAcentral describes it as "bacterial SSU rRNA". It matches the Rfam family "Bacterial small subunit ribosomal RNA", at positions 28 to 402 of the family's 1533-position model. The record is from RNAcentral.
GACGAACGCUGGCGGCGUGCUUAAUACAUGCAAGUCGAGCGAGGCCCAUCCGGUGGCAACACCGGGGAAGGCCGAGCGGCGAACGGGUGAGUAACACGUGAGCAACCUGCCCCGAAGUCUGGAAUGACAUCGGGAAACCGGUGCUAAUACCGGAUCGCCCCACCUGACCGCAUGAUCGGGUGAGGAAAGAUUUAUCGCUUCGGGGAGGGGCUCGCGGCCUAUCAGCUAGUUGGUGGGGAACGGCCUACCAAGGCGUCGACGGGUAGCUGGUCUGAGAGGACGACCAGCCACACUGGGACUGAGACACGGCCCAGACUCCUACGGGAGGCAGCAGUAGGGAAUCUUGCGCAAGUGGGCGAAAGCCUGACGCAGCAACGCCGCGU